This 482-nucleotide ribosomal RNA is filed under the name uncultured bacterium. RNAcentral describes it as "partial 16S ribosomal RNA". It matches the Rfam family "Bacterial small subunit ribosomal RNA", at positions 30 to 507 of the family's 1533-position model. The record is from RNAcentral.
AUUGAACGCUGGCGGCAUGCUUUACACAUGCAAGUCGAACGGUAACAGGCCGCAAGGUGCUGACGAGUGGCGAACGGGUGAGUAAUGCAUCGGAACGUGCCCAGUCGUGGGGGAUAACUACUCGAAAGAGUAGCUAAUACCGCAUACGAUCUAUGGAUGAAAGCGGGGGACCGUAAGGCCUCGCGCGAUUGGAGCGGCCGAUGUCAGAUUAGGUAGUUGGUGGGGUAAAGGCUCACCAAGCCAACGAUCUGUAGCUGGUCUGAGAGGACGACCAGCCACACUGGGACUGAGACACGGCCCAGACUCCUACGGGAGGCAGCAGUGGGGAAUUUUGGACAAUGGGCGCAAGCCUGAUCCAGCAAUGCCGCGUGCAGGAAGAAGGCCUUCGGUUUGUAAACUGCUUUUGUACGGAACGAAACGGCUCUGGUUAAUACCCGGGGCUAAUGACGGUACCGUAAGAAUAAGCACCGGCUAACUACGUG